CUCUGUUAUUAUCCGGACAUCAAUACGCGUUGGUAGUUCUUGUACAAGUGUCUAAUAUGUAUUUAAUUAAUUAAUUAAUGUAUAUAAUAAUAAUUAUGUAUUAAUAACAAUAACAAUUUUAAAUAUCAUAUAAUAUUAUGUAUUACAUAUUAAAUAUAUAUGUACAUAAUAUAUUAUGUAUAUCAAUAUAAUGCAUAAUGCAUGUACUCUAAACAGUAGGUAGACGUACAAUAUAAAUUCCAAUUGCCUCAGCAAAAUGUUACAAGUCAAUGUGUUUUUGUUGCCACUAAUUGCACCGAACGGGGAGCGCCCAAGAAGCGGUCUGCUUUAUUACCGCCCAGUGACCACGUCAAUUUGGAAGACACACGUCUUGUAGUCAUAUAGCUUGUCCCAAUUCCAUGGACAAUACCUAAUUCGGCUUCUUCCUCGGGGACAGAGACCAUCGUCUCCUGCCUCACGACGUAAUUCUACUAAAUGAUGAUGAUCUGUGAAGAGGAUAUCUAUAACUAUACAAGAUCAGGACGACAGGCUACCAUACUUUAUUUAUGUACAGAGCAUUUGUACCUAGUUAAUAUGCAGACAUACAGUGAGAAUUUGCAGGUAGAGUAAUCUGUUCUUCCGAUUAAUGACGAAAGAUUUAAGUAUUUAAUCAAUAACAACUAUGACGGUCAUAGAGUAAUGCUAAUGCAGUGAUGCGGUAUAUAUAUAUAUAUAUAUAUCUGUGUUUGCUUGCUAUAUAACAAGGAAACAACUAAGUCCAAUAAUUUGACUGUCAAACUAUGGAUUAAUGGAUCAACAGUAUUUUUCUACAAUUUUAAAAUGUUCUCAGUAAAUAGUUAGUUAUACAAGUCGGAAACAUUAUAACUUAUAAGUUAUUUCACUUACAAUCAAAGAAUAAAUUAUAAAAAUAUUUUUAAAUAAAUACGUAUUCAACUGUUACUAAUAGA
Long non-coding RNA from Acyrthosiphon pisum (pea aphid), 947 nucleotides. RefSeq lists it as uncharacterized. Lineage: Eukaryota; Metazoa; Arthropoda; Insecta; Hemiptera; Aphididae. The record is from RefSeq and is a predicted model, not a curated record. The transcript has 3 exons.